GCCAUAGUGAAAGAUGUGACCAAUAAAUAUGUAAAAGGUUGGAUGGACUUUAAAGAGAACAGCAUAAGUAUCGAGUACAAAGAUUACAAAAAGGUAUAAUCCAUCUUUAUACCAUUUUAAUGAAAUCAUAGGGGUAACCAAUCCAUCUGCCCUUUCCCUUUAUGUGCUCAUACUAAAAUAUAAACCACACUCGAAACACUUAAUUACUCCACAAUUACGUCACUUUCGAAAGGUGGCCCAGUUAUAAUUGUAAGAUAUACCUAUAUUUUGGUGGCAUCUUUUUUAGCAUGGUACUUUAAAACAGCUUAAAAUUGUAAAC
Molecule: long non-coding RNA, 319 nt
Filed under: Mytilus galloprovincialis (Mediterranean mussel)
Lineage: Eukaryota; Metazoa; Mollusca; Bivalvia; Mytilida; Mytilidae
Source: RNAcentral